This 312-nucleotide long non-coding RNA is filed under the name Solanum lycopersicum (tomato). RNAcentral's name for it is "long non-coding RNA (SLYC_LNC001418)". The record is from RNAcentral. Lineage: Eukaryota; Viridiplantae; Streptophyta; Magnoliopsida; Solanales; Solanaceae.
UGCAUGACAAUUGCUUUGUCUUCAAUCCCAAGAAAUGAAACAUUAUCGUACUUUAUAAAACAUCCAUCCAGCUGUAACGUUCCGCCACACGACACGGGGCAGAGCGUUCCAAGCUGAGUCAGUGCCGCGGCGACACAGUUAUGACAUUCAGCACUGCUUAAGUCGCCGCGGCACUGAAAAAGACCGUACGCCACGUCGUACUGAGUCGAACCGGGCAUGGAUAUCUUGAAAUUGUUGAAAUUUGACAUUGACGCUGAGUUGACUAAGGAGCUGAGUAGCGAGUUGACGUUCGACUCGUAAACCGUGCCCGGA